GACCGAGGAGGCAAGCGUUAUCCGGAAUUAUUGGGAGUAAAGCGUCCGUAGGUGGUUUGACAAGUCUGGGGUUAAAGCCCGGAGCCCAACUCCGGAUCGGCCCUGGAAACUGUCAGACUUGAGUAAGGAAGGGGUUGCGGGAAUUCCCGGUGUAGCGGUGAAAUGCGUAGAUAUCGGGAAGAACACCAGCGGCGAAAGCGCGCAACUGGGCCAUUACUGACACUGAGGGACGAAAGCUAGGGGAGCGAAUGGG
Molecule: ribosomal RNA, 253 nt
Filed under: uncultured bacterium
Lineage: Bacteria
Description: partial 16S ribosomal RNA
Rfam family: Bacterial small subunit ribosomal RNA
Source: RNAcentral